RNAcentral lists this ribosomal RNA (365 nucleotides) under uncultured bacterium. Its description in RNAcentral is "bacterial SSU rRNA". It matches the Rfam family "Bacterial small subunit ribosomal RNA", at positions 525 to 896 of the family's 1533-position model. The record is from RNAcentral.
ACGGGGGGAGCAAGCGUUAUCCGGAAUGAUUGGGCGUAAAGCGUCUGUAGGUGGUUUAAAAAGUCGACUGUCAAAUACCAAGGCUCAACCUUGGGCAGGCAGUCGAGUACUUUUAGACUUGAGUGCGGUAGAGGUAGAGGGAAUCCCUAGCGUAACAGUGAAAUGUGUAGAUUUUAGGGAGAACACCAGCGGCGAAGGCGCUCUACUGGGCCGAGACUGACACUGAGAGACGAAAGCUAAGGGAGCGAAUAGGAUUAGAUACCCUAGUAGUCUUAGCUGUAAACGAUGGAAACUAAGUGCUGCCGAAUGCAGUGCUGUAGCUAACGCGUUAAGUUUCCCGCCUGGGGAGUAUGCUCGCAAGAGUG